GUCUACCGCAAGACCACCCUGAACGCGCCCGAUCUCGGACGUUAAGAAGGGCCGGGCCUGGUUAGAACUUGAAUGGGAGACAGCGUCUCCUUUGAACGCUGUUUGGCUCCCAGGGCCCCCAGUACACG
Molecule: ribosomal RNA, 128 nt
Filed under: Fukomys damarensis (Damara mole-rat)
Lineage: Eukaryota; Metazoa; Chordata; Mammalia; Rodentia; Bathyergidae
Source: RNAcentral